ACAUGCCUACAACAUAGCGUUAAUGCACCGGAUCCCAUUAGAAAUUCACAGUUAAGCACGCUCAGGCUAGAGUAGUAUUAGGAUGAGUGACCACCUCGGAAGUCCUAGUGUUUUACAUGCC
Molecule: non-coding RNA, 121 nt
Organism: Picea glauca (white spruce)
Lineage: Eukaryota; Viridiplantae; Streptophyta; Pinopsida; Pinales; Pinaceae
Source: Rfam